This 752-nucleotide ribosomal RNA is filed under the name uncultured bacterium. Its description in RNAcentral is "bacterial SSU rRNA". It matches the Rfam family "Bacterial small subunit ribosomal RNA", at positions 356 to 1106 of the family's 1533-position model. The record is from RNAcentral.
GAGGAAUAUUGGUCAAUGGACGAGAGUCUGAACCAGCCAAGUAGCGUGCAGGAUGACGGCCCUAUGGGUUGUAAACUGCAAAAAAAAAGGGAAUAAAAAGAGCCUCGUGAGGCUUUUUGCAUGUACCUUAUGAAUAAGGACCGGCUAAUUCCGUGCCAGCAGCCGCGGUAAUACGGAAGGUCCGGGCGUUAUCCGGAUUUAUUGGGUUUAAAGGGAGCGUAGGCCGGAGAUUAAGCGUGUUGUGAAAUGUAGACGCUCAACGUCUGCACUGCAGCGCGAACUGGUUUCCUUGAGUACGCACAAAGUGGGCGGAAUUCGUGGUGUAGCGGUGAAAUGCUUAGAUAUCACGAAGAAACUCCGAUUGCGAAGGCAGCCUCACUGGAGCGCAACUGACGCUGAAGCUCGAAAGCUGCAGGGUAUCGAACAGGAUUAGAUACCCUGGUAGUCCGCACGGUAAACGAUGGAUGCCCGCUGUUGGUCUGAAUAGGUCAGCGGCCAAGCGAAAGUAUUAAGCAUCCCAACUGGGGCGUACGCCGGCAAAGGUGAAACUCAUAAGGCAUUGUCGUGGGGCCCGCACAAGCGGAGGAACAUAUGGUUUAAUUCGAUGAAAAGCGAGGAACAUUAACCGGGCUUGAAUUGCAGAGGAAGGAUUGGGAACAUACACCCAUCCGGGCCUCUGUGAAGGUGCUGCAUGGUUUACGUCAGAUCGUGCCGUGAGGUAUAGGCUUAAGUGCAUAACGAGAGCACCCCCU